UCGGGAAUUUUGGGCAAUGGGCGAAAGCCUGACCCAGCAACGCCGCGUGAAGGAUGAAGUAUUUCGGUAUGUAAACUUCGAAAGAAUAGGAAGAAUAAAUGACGGUACUAUUUAUAAGGUCCGGCUAACUACGUGCCAGCAGCCGCGGUAAUACGUAGGGACCAAGCGUUGUUCGGAUUUACUGGGCGUAAAGGGCGCGUAGGCGGCAAUUCAAGUCAUCUGUGAAAUCUCCGAGCUUAACUCGGAACGGUCAGAUGAUACUGCUGUGCUAGAGUACAGAAAGGGCAAUCGGAAUUCUUGGUGUAGCGGUGAAAUGCGUAGAUAUCAAGAGGAACACCUGAGGUGAAGACGGGUUGCUGGGCUGACACUGACGCUGAGGCGCGAAAGCCAGGGGAGCAAACGGGAUUAGAUACCCCCGUAGUCCCUGAGCGGGCUGGCAAGGCGCAU
Molecule: ribosomal RNA, 447 nt
Filed under: uncultured bacterium
Lineage: Bacteria
Description: bacterial SSU rRNA
Rfam family: Bacterial small subunit ribosomal RNA
Source: RNAcentral